UGAAGCGUACAGGGAGGAUGCCUAGGCAGUCAGAGGCGAAGAAGGGCGUGUUAAUCUGCGAAAAGCGACGGUAAGCUGAUAAAAAGCGUGUUAGCCGUUGAUACCCGAAUGGGGCAACCCAGUGCAGAAUAUGCACUAUCGUAAUAUGAAUAAAUAGUAUUGCGAGGCAAACCAGGGGAAUUGAAACAUCUCAGUACCCUGAGGAAAAGAAAUCAACCGAGAUUCCCUAA
RNAcentral lists this ribosomal RNA (230 nucleotides) under Buchnera aphidicola. Its description in RNAcentral is "partial 23S ribosomal RNA". It matches the Rfam family "Bacterial large subunit ribosomal RNA", at positions 1 to 242 of the family's 2925-position model. Lineage: Bacteria; Pseudomonadati; Pseudomonadota; Gammaproteobacteria; Enterobacterales; Erwiniaceae. The record is from RNAcentral. RNAcentral also lists the same sequence under 2 other names.